This 467-nucleotide ribosomal RNA is filed under the name uncultured bacterium. RNAcentral describes it as "partial 16S ribosomal RNA". It matches the Rfam family "Bacterial small subunit ribosomal RNA", at positions 28 to 507 of the family's 1533-position model. The record is from RNAcentral.
GACGAACGCUGGCGGCGUGCUUAACACAUGCAAGUCGAACGGAAAGGCCCUGCUUUUGUGGGGUGCUCGAGUGGCGAACGGGUGAGUAACACGUGAGUAACCUGCCCUUGACUUUGGGAUACUUCAGGAAACUGGGGCUAAUACCGGAUAGGAGCUCCUGCUGCAUGGCGGGGGUUGGAAAGUUUCGGCGGUUGGGGAUGGACUCGCGGCUUAUCAGCUUGUUGGUGGGGUAGUGGCUUACCAAGGCUUUGACGGGUAGCCGGCCUGAGAGGGUGACCGGCCACAUUGGGACUGAGAUACGGCCCAGACUCCUACGGGAGGCAGCAGUGGGGAAUAUUGCACAAUGGGCGGAAGCCUGAUGCAGCAACGCCGCGUGCGGGAUGACGGCCUUCGGGUUGUAAACCGCUUUCGCCUGUGACGAAGCGUGAGUGACGGUAAUGGGUAAAGAAGCACCGGCUAACUACGUG